UUGGUCCCGCAUCCACCCAGAGGAAUUCUCCCUACUGCCCACACCAGAAAUACCCUGUCUACACUGCAGACGGUGGCCCGCACACUGUCUGGGAGUUACAAAGAGACUCGACUCACAGGGGACUUUGCUCCUGGGUCUAGGGACAGGAAGAUGGUGGGCGAUGUGAUCGGGGCUCAGAGCUACGCCUCCACUGCCAAGUGCCUGAACAUCAGUGCCCUGGUCUUAAGCAUUGCUCUGACCAUUGGCCUCAUCGUUGUGUUUGCCUUCACCUCCGUGCAGUUGUUCAAGGCGAUAUCUGACCUUCAGGGCCACUAGUUCUGCAUAUCCUUCCCUGCACAGCUUCCUUCGCCUUGGGCUGGGUCCUGUCCUGCAACCCACACCCUGACCAGCUGUCCACAACUGGGAUCAAUAAAGUGUGCAUGUUCCUGU
Molecule: long non-coding RNA, 429 nt
Organism: Octodon degus (degu)
Lineage: Eukaryota; Metazoa; Chordata; Mammalia; Rodentia; Octodontidae
Exons: 2
Source: RefSeq, a predicted model, not a curated record